CGGUAGCAACGUGACCUUGCACUUGUGGAUCAGUGGCGAACGGGUGAGUAACACGUGAGCAACCUGCCCCGGACUCUGGGAUAAGCGCUGGAAACGGCGUCUAAUACUGGAUAUGAGACGUGACCGCAUGGUCAACGUUUGGAAAGAUUUUUCGGUCUGGGAUGGGCUCGCGGCCUAUCAGCUUGUUGGUGAGGUAAUGGCUCACCAAGGCGUCGACGGGUAGCCGGCCUGAGAGGGUGACCGGCCACACUGGGACUGAGACACGGCCCAGACUCCUACGGGAGGCAGCAGUGGGGAAUAUUGCACAAUGGGCGAAAGCCUGAUGCAGCAACGCCGCGUGAGGGAUGACGGCCUUCGGGUUGUAAACCUCUUUUAGCAGGGAAGAAGCGAGAGUGACGGUACCUGCAGAAAAAGCGCCGGCUAACUACGUGCCAGCAGCCGCGGUAAUACGUAGGGCGCAAGCGUUAUCCGGAAUUAUUGGGCGUAAAGAGCUCGUAGGCGGUCUGUCGCGUCUGCUGUGAAAUCUGGAGGCUCAACCUCCAGCCUGCAGUGGGUACGGGGCAGACUAGAGUGCGGUAGGGGGAGAUUGGAAAUUCCUGGUGUAGCGGGUGGAAUGGCGCAGAU
This 624-nucleotide ribosomal RNA is filed under the name Microbacterium sp. V9R1Y3. RNAcentral describes it as "bacterial SSU rRNA". It matches the Rfam family "Bacterial small subunit ribosomal RNA", at positions 67 to 695 of the family's 1533-position model. The record is from RNAcentral. Lineage: Bacteria; Bacillati; Actinomycetota; Actinomycetes; Micrococcales; Microbacteriaceae.